UCCGGCGGCGGGGGGCCGAGUCCCCCCGGCCGCCCAACAAACCCCCGGCGCGGGACGCGCCAAGGAUGACCCCAACGAGACGGCACGCCCCCGGAGCCCGUUCGCGGGCGGCGCGGGGCGACGGCCUCUUUCGCGAAUCUAAACGACUCUCGGCAACGGAUAUCUCGGCUCUCGCAUCGAUGAAGAACGUAGCGAAAUGCGAUACUUGGUGUGAAUUGCAGAAUCCCGCGAACCAUCGAGUCUUUGAACGCAAGUUGCGCCCGAAGCCUUCGGCCGAGGGCACGUCUGCCUGGGCGUCUCGCAACGCGUCGCCCCCCCGACACCCGCGCGCGGGUCGUGGUGGGGCGGACACUGGCCCCCCGCGAGCGUCGGCUCGCGGUCGGCCUAAAAACCGAGUCGCCGGCGAGGGACGGCACGACGAGCGGUGGAGCACGACGCGCGCCCGCGACAGGGCGAGCCCUUUGUCGUGCCGUGCCCGUCGCCGCGGCGCGACCCCGAAAUAUCGACCGCGACCCCAGGUCAGGCGGGAUCACCCGCUGAAUUUAAGCAUA
RNAcentral lists this ribosomal RNA (551 nucleotides) under Corythophora labriculata. RNAcentral's name for it is "eukaryotic LSU rRNA". The stretch from base 145 to 299 matches the Rfam family "5.8S ribosomal RNA". Lineage: Eukaryota; Viridiplantae; Streptophyta; Magnoliopsida; Ericales; Lecythidaceae. The record is from RNAcentral.